Molecule: transfer RNA, 73 nt
Filed under: Planctomycetia bacterium
Lineage: Bacteria; Pseudomonadati; Planctomycetota; Planctomycetia
Also listed under: 2 other names
Description: tRNA-Ala
Rfam family: tRNA
About the family: Transfer RNA (tRNA) molecules are approximately 80 nucleotides in length. Their secondary structure includes four short double-helical elements and three loops (D, anti-codon, and T loops). Further hydrogen bonds mediate the characteristic L-shaped molecular structure. tRNAs have two regions of fundamental functional importance: the anti-codon, which is responsible for specific mRNA codon recognition, and the 3' end, to which the tRNAs corresponding amino acid is attached (by aminoacyl-tRNA synthetases). tRNAs cope with the degeneracy of the genetic code in two manners: having more than one tRNA (with a specific anti-codon) for a particular amino acid; and 'wobble' base-pairing, i.e. permitting non-standard base-pairing at the 3rd anti-codon position.
Source: RNAcentral
GGGGAGUUAGCUCAGUUGGGAGAGCGCGACGUUCGCAAUGUCGAGGUCGAGGGUUCGACUCCCUUACUCUCCA